AGAACGAACGCUGGCGGCAGGCCUAACACAUGCAAGUCGAACGCCCCGCAAGGGGAGUGGCAGACGGGUGAGUAACGCGUGGGAACGUGCCCUUCGGUUCGGAAUAACUCAGGGAAACUUGAGCUAAUACCGGAUACGUCCGUAAGGAGAAAGAUUUAUCGCCGAAGGAUCGGCCCGCGUCGGAUUAGCUAGUUGGUGAGGUAACGGCCCACCAAGGCGACGAUCCGUAGCUGGUCUGAGAGGAUGAUCAGCCACACUGGGACUGAGACACGGCCAGACUCCGUACGGGAGCAGCAGGUGGGGAAUAGUGGACAAGUGGGCGACAAGCCUGACUCCGAGCCAGUCGCCGCGUGAGUAGAAGGAGGUCCGUUUAGGGUAGUAAGUCUUC
Molecule: ribosomal RNA, 388 nt
Filed under: uncultured soil bacterium
Lineage: Bacteria
Description: bacterial SSU rRNA
Rfam family: Bacterial small subunit ribosomal RNA
Source: RNAcentral